RNAcentral lists this ribosomal RNA (418 nucleotides) under uncultured bacterium. Its description in RNAcentral is "bacterial SSU rRNA". It matches the Rfam family "Bacterial small subunit ribosomal RNA", at positions 917 to 1350 of the family's 1533-position model. The record is from RNAcentral.
GGGCCCGCACAAGCGGUGGAGCAUGUGGUUUAAUUCGAUGCAACGCGAAGAACCUUACCAGGUCUUGACAUGUCACUUUUUUCUUGAAAAAGAAAGUUCCCGAGUGAACACAGGUGGUGCAUGGCUGUCGUCAGCUCGUGUCUUGAGAUGUUGGGUUAAGUCCCGCAACGAGCGCAACCCUUAUUCUGUGUUGCUAUUUAUAGGAAACUCAGAAGACUGCCGGUGACAAACCGGAGGAAGGUGAGGAUGACGUCAAGUCAGCAUGCCCCUUAUGUCCUGGGCUACACACGUGCUACAAUGGUUAAGACAAAGAGUUGCGAGCUCGUGAGAGUAAGCUAAUCUAAUAAACUUAGCCUAAGUUCAGAUUGUAGGCUGCAACUCGCCUGCAUGAAGUUGGAAUCGCUAGUAAUCGCUGGUC